This is a non-coding RNA of Cricetulus griseus (Chinese hamster), 2472 nucleotides long. The record is from RefSeq and is a predicted model, not a curated record. NCBI's taxonomy places the organism in Eukaryota, Metazoa, Chordata, Mammalia, Rodentia, Cricetidae.
CUGGUGUAAAGCUCACAUGUGGCGGUGGGGCUCAGGCGACUUAUGGCAGAAAGAUUUAUCAUAACAGUGGGGGUUUUUUGUUUGUUUGUUUGCAUUUUUUUGUCUCUAUCUCAGCUUUCAAACUUUGCACUGUUUGAAAUGUUUCUUGCAAUCUUUGGUUUGUCUUUUCUUCCAUUUCUCUGAAGGAUUUUAUCAUUUCUUCUCUUAGGGUCUCUAUCAUCUGUAUGAAGUUGUUUUUUAGGUUGCUCUCUUCUGCUUCAUCUGUGUUGGGGUGUUCAGGUCUUUCUGUCAUUGAGUCCCUGGACUCUGGUGGAGUAAUAUUGGUUUUUCUGUUGUUGGAUGUGUUCUUUCAUGUUCCCAUCUUUUUUUCCAGUGGGUGCACGUGGUGUCUCUUCCUCUUCUGAUGUGUACGGGUUCAAUUUUCUCUUCUGGUGGGUUCAAGAGGGUCAGAUACUCUGAUGGGUAUCAAGGUGGGUGCAGGUGGGUCUGAGUUACUCCCUCUCCAGGUGAGUGGGAGAAGGACUAGCCCAGUGAUCUCAGCAGACUCAGGGUUGCUUGGUCCUCAGGGGCCAAGUGGACCUGACUGUAGACCCCAGGACAGGAAUUCCCAGCAUGGGCAGGAGGAAGUUGGACCCAAGGCAGGGGCCAAAGCUCACCUUUGCCCUGAGUAGGGGCAAGAAUAUCCCUGCUAUCUCAGCAGACUCAGGGUUGCUUGGUCCUCAGGAACUGAGCAGUAGUAAGGACAUUUUAAAAUCCAAAAGAAGUAUUUGAAGUUCCAGCUCAUGAGUUAGUUAACCUAACUAAGCUCUCUAGCUAAAUAUCUUUCCUCUCUAUAACAGCAUAUUUGCUCAAAUGACAUGACGUACUUUAUGGGUACUCUAAUCCAGAGCUAACCUGAUAUGGGUAUUUUUCCUCUAGUACAAGAAAACUGUCUGUACAAAAGAAAGGCAAAUGGAACAAAAUAAUCUUACUUAUGUUGCAGUUUCACAAAAAAAGCCAUCAUCAAUGUGUUGAGGGCUAGCAAUAAUUAAGAGUUGAAGGAGUAUUAAUGGUGUUAUGAUUCACUUUCAACUGGGUGACAAAUUUGCUAAGGCAUUGGUAUGAUUUAUGUAGUUGCCCUUGACAACAUUCCUUUGAGGUAAUUAAUUAUUUUUUACAGGUGAUUGAACUGAGACUUGAAGAAGAUAAAAGAAGUUGCCCAAAUCAAAUAGUACCUAAAAAAUCCAGAAUUUGAACUCAUAAAAGAUAAUAAGAAGGAGGUCAGAGGCAACCAAUGGAAAGUCUACAGGCAGAGCUCUCUCUAAAAACUGCAAAGAAAUAUAUAACCCAGAGUUCCUCAGUCAGCAACACCACACUUCCUUACAACAGGGCCUUCAAGAGUUUGCACAUAUAUAUAUAUAUAUAUAUAUAUAUAUAUAUAUAUAUAUAUUAUGGCUGUUAGCUUGGUGUUUAUAUACAACUCCUCACAGUAGGAACAGGUAUGGCUCUGAUUCUUUUGCCUGCUCUUGGGACUCUUUUUCUCCUAUUGGGUUGCCUUCUCCAAGCUCAAUAUGAGGCCUUUGCCUCAUCUUACUGUAUCUUGUUAUGCUGUGUUUGGUUAUUGUCUCUUAGAAGCCUGCUCUUUUCUAAAGGGAAAUGGGGUUAGUGGAUCUUGGGGGGAGGGGAGGUUGGAGGGCUGGGAAGUGUGGAAGGAGGGAACUGUAAUUCAGAUGUAUUGGAUGAGAGAAAAAUCUGUUUACAAUCAAAUAAAUAAAUAAACAAAAGAAUACUGAACAUCAACAAAAAAAAGAAAGAAAGAAAGAAAGAAAGAAAGAAAGAAAGAAAUUUCAUCCUAAGCAUGAACCAAAAGGACUGUCAUAUUAGUGGUCGAUCACUGACAGUGGGGUAGGGAAGACGACGUGCUCUGCUACAUAGAGGAGGCCAGGAGAAGACACCUGGGCCACUUCUGUCAUCUCACAUGGGUAUCACAAAACUUCAUGCUUGAGUUCUCAUAAAGAGUAAGUGAGCACAUUACACGGGAAAUUUUACAGAGAACCAUGUGCUUCAGGAAAGGCCAAAUGGCAAGACGAUGUCUGAGAAAAGAGGUCCAGCAACACAUCACUGAAAUGCUUAACCUGACAGGGGAAAAAUAGCUAUGGAUGACAUCAAAAUUGAAAAAGAUUUCCUGUGAACAAGAUACCUCUUAAUUAGAAGAGAUGACAUUUCAUCAAGCAACAUGGCCAUUUUAUCCAUUUGAUCAGAUAUAACUUGCCAAAGGAGAACCUCUCCCAAAUUUAGGGUUGGGAAAAGGUUUUGUUUUUGUCUUUUCAGGAGAAUAAAGGUGUCCAGCUAAGUAAUCCAGAGACCACUGGACAAAUAAGACAUCUGAUGAAAAAGAAAAAAAAUUAUCCAAAAAUUUUCCAUAAGAAAAGGAUUAAAUUGGCCUCUUGCCAUACUAUAUUUCCAACAGAAUAAACUUUCACAUCUUCUGUU